This 1397-nucleotide long non-coding RNA is filed under the name Salmo salar (Atlantic salmon). RNAcentral describes it as "lncRNA (ENSSSAG00000119693.1)". The record is from RNAcentral. Lineage: Eukaryota; Metazoa; Chordata; Actinopteri; Salmoniformes; Salmonidae.
UAGUAGUAGUAGUAGUAGUAGCAGAAGCAGUAGUAGUAGUAGCAGCAGUAGUAGUAGUAGCAGUAGUAGUAAUAUUAAUGUUAGUAGUAGCAACAGCAGUAGCAGUAGUAGUAGUUGUAGUAGUAGUGGUAGUGGUAGUAAUGGUAGUAGUAGCAACAGCAGUAGUAGUACUAGUCACAGUAGUAAUAGUGGUAGUAGCAGUAGCAGCAGUAGUAGCAGUAGCAGCAGUAGUAGUAGUAGCAGUAGUAGUAGUGGUAGUAGCAGCAGUAGAAGUAGAAGUAGUAGUGGUAGUAGUAGUAGUAGCAGUAGUAGUAGUAGUAGUAGUAGUAGUAGCGGUAGUCGUAGUAGUAGUAGUAGCACCACCAAACCCUCUCCACAUGUCUCCGCACCAUAAAGGACUUUGUUAAACUUCAGGCGAGCGGAAGACGGGAUGUGUGGGGUUAUUCUGAAUGACAUGUUACUGAUGAUAUAGUAGUAGUAGUAGUAGUAGUAGCAGAAGCAGUAGUAGCAGAAGCAGUAGUAGUAGCAGCAGUAGUAGUAGUAGUAGUAGUAGCAGUAGUGGUAGCAGAAGUAGUAUUAGUAGUAGUAAUAGUAGUGGUAGUGGUAGUAGUAGUAGUAGUGGUAGUAGUAGUAAUGGUAGUAGUAGUAGCAGUAGUAGUAGUAGCAGCAGUAGCAGUAGCAGCAGUAGUAGUAGCAGCAGCAGUAGAAGUAGUAGUAGUAGUGGUAGUAGUAGUAGUAGUGGUGGUAGUAGUAGUAGUAAUGGUAGUAGUAACAACAGCAGUAGCAGUAGUGGUGGUAGUAGUAGUAGUAGUAGUAGUAGUAGUAGUAGUAGCAGCAGUAGUAGUAGUAUUAAUGUUAGUAGUAGCAACAGCAGUAGCAGUAGUAGUAGUAGUAGUAGUGGUAGUAUUAGUAGUAAUGGUAGUAAUAGCAACAGCAGUAGCAGUAGUAGUAGUAGUAGUAGUAGUGGUAUUAGUAGUAAUGGUAGUAAUAGCAACAGCAGUAGCAGUAGUAGUAGUAGUAGUAGUAGUAGUAGAAGUAGUAGUAGUAGUAGUGGUAGUAAUGGUAGUAGUAGCAACAGCAAUAGUAGUAGUAGCAGUAGUAAUGGUAGUAGUAGCAACAGCAGUAGUAGUACUAGUCACAGUAGUAAUAGUGGUAGUAGCAGUAGCAGCAGUAGUAGCAGUAGCAGCAGUAGUAGUAGUAGCAGUAGUAGUAGUAGUAGUAGCAGCAGUAGUAGGAGUAGUAGUGGAAGUAGUAGUAGUGGUAGUAGUAGUAGCAGUAGUAGUAGUAGCGGUAGUAGUAGUAGUAGUAGUAGUAGCACCACCAAACCCUCUCCACAUGUCUCCGCACCAUAAAGGACUUUGUUAAACUUCAGGCGAGCGGAAGACGGGAUGUGUGGG